RNAcentral lists this long non-coding RNA (342 nucleotides) under Oryza sativa Indica Group (long-grained rice). Its description in RNAcentral is "lncRNA OsZS97_09G002520". RNAcentral also lists the same sequence under 1 other name. Lineage: Eukaryota; Viridiplantae; Streptophyta; Magnoliopsida; Poales; Poaceae. The record is from RNAcentral.
GGUGGAUAUAAGAACUGGAUAUGGGCAGUUCAUUUCCAACCAAUAUCAGGGAAGAGAGAGCAAAACGCCGUCCUUCCAACACCAUCAAGACAAUUGUUGCCAUCGUCGGUACCUACCACCACAUUUUAUAGUGCCUUCCCUAGUUGUUGGUUGCCCAGAUCUAGGAUCUGGGGCAGGGCCUUUGGGCGGACAACGUUUAGGUGGUUUUUGAUGUCGCUCCCCUUCCCUGUGCAGGAUCCAGUUUUCCUUCACCGUGCAAGGAUGGCGGCUCGUCUGCCCCACUCAUCAGCUAGUCGAUCUAUGUCGACGGCCAAGGUAUCAUUCAUCCUUAUCUCGGCAUGA